GACGAACGCUGGCGGCGUGCCUAAUACAUGCAAGUAGAACGCUGAAGGAGGAGCUUGCUCUUCUUGGAUGAGUUGCGAACGGGUGAGUAACGCGUAGGUAACCUGCCUGGUAGCGGGGGAUAACUAUUGGAAACGAUAGCUAAUACCGCAUAAUAGUAGAUGUUGCAUGACAUUUACUUAAAAGGUGCAAUUGCAUCACUACCAGAUGGACCUGCGUUGUAUUAGCUAGUUGGUGAGGUAACGGCUCACCAAGGCAACGAUACAUAGCCGACCUGAGAGGGUGAUCGGCCACACUGGGACUGAGACACGGCCCAGACUCCUACGGGAGGCAGCAGUAGGGAAUCUCCGGCAAUGGACGGAAGUCUGACCGAGCAACGCCGCGUGAGUGAAGAAGGUUUUCGGAUCGUAAAGCUCUGUUGUAAGAGAAGAACGAGUGUGAGAGUGGAAAAUUCACACUGUGACGGUAUCUUACCAGAAAGGGACGGCUAACUACGUGC
RNAcentral lists this ribosomal RNA (497 nucleotides) under uncultured Streptococcus sp. RNAcentral's name for it is "bacterial SSU rRNA". It matches the Rfam family "Bacterial small subunit ribosomal RNA", at positions 28 to 508 of the family's 1533-position model. Lineage: Bacteria; Bacillati; Bacillota; Bacilli; Lactobacillales; Streptococcaceae. The record is from RNAcentral.